Molecule: ribosomal RNA, 253 nt
Filed under: uncultured bacterium
Lineage: Bacteria
Description: partial 16S ribosomal RNA
Rfam family: Bacterial small subunit ribosomal RNA
Source: RNAcentral
UACGUAGGGGGCAAGCGUUGUCCGGAUUUAUUGGGCGUAAAGCGCGCGCAGGCGGUCUCUUAAGUCUGAUGUGAAAGCCCACGGCUCAACCGUGGAAGGUCAUUGGAAACUGGGAGACUUGAGUGUAGGAGAGGAAAGUGGAAUUCCACGUGUAGCGGUGAAAUGCGUAGAGAUGUGGUGGAACACCAGUGGCGAAGGCGACUUUCUGGCCUAUAACUGACGGUGAGGCGCGAAAGAGUGGGGGGCAAACAGG